UUGUUAAGUUAUUGUUGAUUCUAUGUUUAAUCCUUUUGAAGAUUGCAGAGAGACAUAACUUCUUAAUCUUUGAAGAUCGUAAGUUUGCUGACAUUGGUAACAUAGUGACCAUGCAGUAUGAAGGACGGAUAUUGGACGGGGCAAAUAUAGUUAAUGCUGACAUAAUCUCUGGUCCUGGAAUUGUGGAUGGUCUGAAACUGAAGGGUUUGCCUCGUGGUAGGGGCCUGUUGCUUGUUGCAGAAAUCACUACAAGAAAUAGAAUAAUUAGCGACAAAAUUUUUAGAUUGGGAAAAAAAAUUGUCCCUAAAUGUAUCAAUUAGCGACGAAAUUAAAAAAUUGUCUCAAUAUUUUUAUAUACAUAGUUUUAGAGACGAAAAAUGUAUC
Molecule: long non-coding RNA, 384 nt
Organism: Vitis riparia (riverbank grape)
Lineage: Eukaryota; Viridiplantae; Streptophyta; Magnoliopsida; Vitales; Vitaceae
Exons: 3
Source: RefSeq, a predicted model, not a curated record